This 254-nucleotide ribosomal RNA is filed under the name uncultured bacterium. RNAcentral describes it as "partial 16S ribosomal RNA". It matches the Rfam family "Bacterial small subunit ribosomal RNA", at positions 524 to 776 of the family's 1533-position model. The record is from RNAcentral.
UACGUAGGGGGCGAGCGUUGUCCGGAUUCAUUGGGCGUAAAGCGCUUUAAGGCGGUUCGGUAAGUCGGGUGUGAAACCUCCAGGCUCAACCUGGAGACGCCACUCGAUACUGCUGUGACUAGAGUUCGGUAGGGGAUCACGGAAUUCCUGGUGUAGCGGUGAAAUGCGCAGAUAUCAGGAGGAACACCGGUGGCGAAGGCGGUGAUCUGGGCCGACACUGACGCUGUAGAGCGAAAGCAUGGGGAGCGAACAGG